RNAcentral lists this ribosomal RNA (205 nucleotides) under uncultured bacterium. RNAcentral's name for it is "partial 16S ribosomal RNA". It matches the Rfam family "Bacterial small subunit ribosomal RNA", at positions 1296 to 1500 of the family's 1533-position model. The record is from RNAcentral.
GGUUGAAGGCUGAAAUUCGCCUUCAUGAAGCCGGAAUUGCUAGUAAUGGCAGGUCAGCAUACUGCCGUGAAUACGUUCCCGGGCCUUGUACACACCGCCCGUCACACCAUGGGAGUCGGAAAUGCCCGAAGUCUGUGACCCAACCUACGGGAGGGAGCAGCCGAAGGCAGGUCGGAUGACUGGGGUGAAGUCGUAACAAGGUACC